UUUUGUAGUUAAUCUAAUUACCCAACAUUCUUUAUGGGCCUAUUUACAACAUCGAAAUGUCAUAUAAUGUGGACAUAGUACUAAGUUUAUUCACCGUCAUAACCCGGUUGUUAUUCUUGUGGUCAUCCGCGGUACAGAACAGGGAUGAUGAAACCAUCGUUGUAUUCAGAAAGCGCUAACAUGUUCUGAUAUGUACGAUCAAAUAGAUCAAGUCAAGUAGAUUAUCUCUGCCCGUUCACAAACAACAUUCUAAAAUCUAAAGAGGGGCUAAUACAUUAGAAAUAAGCCAACCAAAUAUUUGUUUGGGACAAUUUCUUUUAGUUCUAACAGAGACAAUCCAGGAUCAUUCCUCCUUGCGUUCGAUUUUCUUCCUGUUUACCCUGGUUGCCAUGGGCACGGGUUCCACACAGAUGACAAGUUCCAGUCCGUGAACUAGGUCUGACGUUCUGACAAGUCGAGAAUUUGCGACAGUUUGUUUUCUGAACUUCCGAAGUGUACGCGACUGUGUCGACGUGAGGAAAGAUGACAUCGUUGUCAAAAGAAGAUGGGAGAACUGUUGAGCGAAAGAUGAAGCAGAGUCAGGGAGGAGAAGCAGCAACCUCCUUUAGCCAGUAAGAAACUGUUUAGUCAGUUUAUGAUGUCGUUAUGAUGAUGAUGAUUUCAGAAGUAGCAAGUGUUCACAACAAUCAGAAAAAAACAAUGGGGAGGGAUGACCAAAUACAUAUAUUUCAGCCCACACCAAUACAAUUUUUACAGUUACUCAAGCAACUUGAUAGAAUUUAGAAACAGAUGUUUCAGACAGUCUAUUGUAAGUGAAUGGAAGAGAAUCUGUAACAUAUCAAUUCAGAUUUUAGCUUUAAAUCCUGAUUCUCCAGUAACUCCAGAUACACUGACUGGAGAUAGCAGAAUACUGUCUGAAACAUCUGACCAUUUCU
Branchiostoma floridae (Florida lancelet) is the source of this 935-nucleotide long non-coding RNA. RefSeq lists it as uncharacterized. The transcript has 3 exons. The record is from RefSeq and is a predicted model, not a curated record. Lineage: Eukaryota; Metazoa; Chordata; Leptocardii; Amphioxiformes; Branchiostomatidae.